CAGCCGCCGCGGUAAUACGUAGGUGGCAAGCGUUGUCCGGAAUUAUUGGGCGUAAAGCGCGCGCAGGCGGUUCCUUAAGUCUGAUGUGAAAUCUCGCGGCUCAACCGCGAGCGGCCAUUGGAAACUGGGGAACUUGAGUGCAGGAGAGGGGAGCGGAAUUCCACGUGUAGCGGUGAAAUGCGUAGGGAUGUGGAGGAACACCAGUGGCGAAGGCGGCUCUCUGGCCUGUAACUGACGCUGAGGCGCGAAAGCGUGGGGAGCGAACAGGAUUAGAUACCCUGGUAGUCCACGCCGUAAACGAUGAGUGCUAAGUGUUAGAGGGUAUCCACCCUUUAGUGCUGCAGCAAACGCAUUAAGCACUCCGCCUGGGGAGUACGGCCGCAAGGCUGAAACUUAAAGGAAUUGGCGGG
This 410-nucleotide ribosomal RNA is filed under the name uncultured microorganism. RNAcentral's name for it is "bacterial SSU rRNA". It matches the Rfam family "Bacterial small subunit ribosomal RNA", at positions 509 to 917 of the family's 1533-position model. The record is from RNAcentral.